CAGCAGCCGCGGGAAUACGUAGGGUGCAAGCGUUAAUCGGAAUUACUGGGCGUAAAGCGUGCGCAGGCGGUUAUAUAAGACAGAUGUGAAAUCCCCGGGCUCAACCUGGAACUGCAUUUGUGACUGUAUAGCUAGAGUACGGCAGAGGGGGAUGGAAUUCCGCGUGUAGCAGUGAAAUGCGUAGAUAUGCGGAGGAACACCGAUGGCGAAGGCAAUCCCCUGGGCCUGUACUGACGCUCAUGCACGAAAGCGUGGGGAGCAAACAGGAUUAGAUACCCGCGUAGUCCCUGUCUCUUAUACA
This 301-nucleotide ribosomal RNA is filed under the name uncultured bacterium. RNAcentral's name for it is "partial 16S ribosomal RNA". It matches the Rfam family "Bacterial small subunit ribosomal RNA", at positions 509 to 808 of the family's 1533-position model. The record is from RNAcentral.